UGAUUAUGAGUAUGGACUGCUUUAUUUUUUCUUUGUUAAACUUGACUACAAGACGAGAGUCAUGAGGCUCGAGUUUCCCAACUAGCCGGUUAUUGAGUGGAGAGGGAAUGUGUUGUGACAAAAGGUAGGUUUAUUUCUUACCUUAAGGCUUCAAAGUUGAUUCAAAAGGUGUGUAUCAAUCAUUUGGUCCGGGUGGCAGACACCGCC
This 207-nucleotide long non-coding RNA is filed under the name Nicotiana benthamiana. Its description in RNAcentral is "long non-coding RNA (NBEN_LNC019585)". Lineage: Eukaryota; Viridiplantae; Streptophyta; Magnoliopsida; Solanales; Solanaceae. The record is from RNAcentral.